GCAUAACGCGAAGAACCUUACCCACCUUUGACAUGUACGGAAUCCUUUAGAGAUAGAGGAGUGCUCGAAAGAGAGCCGUAACACAGGUGCUGCAUGGCUGUCGUCAGCUCGUGUCGUGAGAUGUUGGGUUAAGUCCCGCAACGAGCGCAACCCUUGCCAUUAGUUGCUACACUUAGUUGAGCACUCUAAUGGGACUGCCGGUGACAAACCGGAGGAAGGUGGGGAUGACGUCAAGUCCUCAUGGCCCUUAUAGGUGGGGCUACACACGUCAUACAAUGGCGUUAAACAGAGGGAUGCUAAGCCGUGAGGUGGAGCGAACCCCUAAAAGGCGUCUCAGUUCGGAUUGCAGGCUGCAACUCGCCUGCAUGAAGUCGGAAUCGCUAGUAAUCGCGGAUCAGAAUGCCGCGGUGAAUACGUUCCCGGGUCUUGUACACACCG
RNAcentral lists this ribosomal RNA (438 nucleotides) under uncultured bacterium. RNAcentral describes it as "bacterial SSU rRNA". It matches the Rfam family "Bacterial small subunit ribosomal RNA", at positions 954 to 1392 of the family's 1533-position model. The record is from RNAcentral.